GACAGAGGGUGCAAACGUUGUUCGGAAUUACUGGGCGUAAAGCGCGUGUAGGCGGCUUGGCAAGUCGGGUGUGAAAGCCCUGGGCUCAACCUAGGAAGUGCACUCGAAACUGCUUCGCUUGAAUGUCGGAGAGGAAAGCGGAAUUCUCGGUGUAGAGGUGAAAUUCGUAGAUAUCGAGAGGAACACCGGUGGCGAAGGCGGCUUUCUGGACGAUUAUUGACGCUGAGACGCGAAAGCGUGGGGAGCAAACAGG
RNAcentral lists this ribosomal RNA (253 nucleotides) under uncultured bacterium. RNAcentral describes it as "partial 16S ribosomal RNA". It matches the Rfam family "Bacterial small subunit ribosomal RNA", at positions 524 to 776 of the family's 1533-position model. The record is from RNAcentral.